Molecule: ribosomal RNA, 253 nt
Filed under: uncultured bacterium
Lineage: Bacteria
Description: partial 16S ribosomal RNA
Rfam family: Bacterial small subunit ribosomal RNA
Source: RNAcentral
UACGUAGGGGGCAAGCGUUGUCCGGAUUUAUUGGGCGUAAAGAGCGUGUAGGCGGUUGGGUAGGUCCGUUGUGAAAACUCGAGGCUCAACCUCGAGACGCCGAUGGAAACCCCCCAGCUAGAGUCCGGAAGAGGAGAGUGGAAUUCCUGGUGUAGCGGUGAAAUGCGCAGAUAUCAGGAAGAACACCCGUGGCUAAGGCGGCUCUCUAGUACGGUACUGACGCUGAGACGCGAAAGCGUGGGGAGCAAACAGG